Molecule: transfer RNA, 90 nt
Filed under: Firmicutes bacterium CAG:791
Lineage: Bacteria; Bacillati; Bacillota
Also listed under: 12 other names
Rfam family: tRNA
About the family: Transfer RNA (tRNA) molecules are approximately 80 nucleotides in length.
Source: Rfam by way of RNAcentral
GGAGAAAUACUCAAGAGGCUGAAGAGGCGCCCCUGCUAAGGGUGUAGGUCGGUUAAUACCGGCGCGCGGGUUCAAAUCCCGCUUUCUCCG